Platichthys flesus (European flounder) is the source of this 350-nucleotide long non-coding RNA. RefSeq lists it as uncharacterized. The transcript has 3 exons. NCBI's taxonomy places the organism in Eukaryota, Metazoa, Chordata, Actinopteri, Pleuronectiformes, Pleuronectidae. The record is from RefSeq and is a predicted model, not a curated record.
UCCCCCGAUUGAUAAGCAGAGAAGAGAAGAUGAUCCUGUCAAGCCCAUUCCUCGACCCAGUGCUACUCCCAGUCCAUCACCUGAAGGGAGAGCAUAAGACAAAAGCCAGAGGGCAGAACACGACGGAACAGUAUUCAGGUGAGCACCAUUUAUCUGUUGUGCACUUUUCAUCACUAAAGUUGAUCACUAAAGCUGGAGAGAAGAUUCAAGACGUUCAACUUCAUCAUGGAAGUCAAGACCAACCUGAAACAAAGACAAAUCAAGCAUGAGCUGUCAGCUUUGUCCUAGAAAGACCACUCACGCUAUGACUGCUGUGUGGUUAUCAUGCUGUCCCAUGGGACUAAGGUAAG